Molecule: long non-coding RNA, 4254 nt
Filed under: Panax ginseng (ginseng)
Lineage: Eukaryota; Viridiplantae; Streptophyta; Magnoliopsida; Apiales; Araliaceae
Description: long non-coding RNA (PGIN_LNC013654)
Source: RNAcentral
GCUGCAACACAGAAAACAAAAUAAAUAAUCACAGAGAGCAGUUUUUUUAUGUGUGCUUUGAUCGAUCAGAGAUCAGAGGCUUGUGUUUUUAUUAGAAAAGCUACUAAUAAUAAGGUUAUGAAACUUGAAAAUGGAAAAUUGAAUAAAAUAAAAGAAAAUAAGGUAUUAAAUCAUUAAAAAUUAAAUUUUGGACUCGACCCUCAAUCGGGAAAGCAACAAAUUGAUGAGAAACCUAAACCUAUAUUCACAUGAGCUUAAAACAACAGCAGGAUCAUGUAAUAAGUAUCUUAUUUAACCGUUUGGAAGCCAAAAUUUCGUAUAUAAAAUUCAACAAUCUGUGAUUUUCAAUUUUCAUAUUUCCUCAACAACCUAACAAAAUGCAGGUAAAAUAUCAAAAACAUGUGGAAAACUUAAAAAAACUUAUGAUCAAAAGAUUCAAACAACAAAACACGAGAUGCAUCAUGCCUCAAUAAAAAAUUUAAAAAAAUCACGAAAUUAGAAAAAUCAAAACCGAGACAAUUUAAACAGAACGAAACGUUAUGAUUAAAUCAGAAUUAUGAGCAGGAAUUAGUUGUGAAAAAGUAGGAGAUAAAAUAAUUACCUGGUAUGGAUCCAUGGUAGGAUGAAGUUCAGAGAGAUUGAUUUGUUGAUGAGAAAGAUAAUAUUGAUUUGUGGCUAAUUUACAGUCCUUUCUUCUUCUUAUUUAUAAUUGAUUUUGUUUCGUCAUAGGAAUAAAAUAACAAAUUGAGUACUUUAACUUUGAUUUUAUCUUGGAUUUGUAUUAUCUAGGGUAAAUCUUUUUGAGUGAAGAGAUAAUUGUUUACCCAAUCAAAAUCUCGCCAUACGAUAUUUUAACUCAUCAGUAUACUUUAUUUCCCAUCUUGUUUUUUUAAGGAAUUUGUAAAUUGGCAUACCAACCAACUCUAAUACGACAACGUUCUUAAAAAUAAAAAAUAAAAAAAUAUAAAUAUAGAGUAAUAUCAUUUCAAAACCGUUAAUGGUUAUUUUUCAAGAAAUUUUUGGCCUAACCAAUUUAUUCCCCAACAAUACAAAUAUAUGAAAUUAAAAAAUACGCAUGUCUAAUUUUUAUGUAAAAAUGAUUAGUAUAAAAUUAACUUUGAUCAAUUGUUUAAUACAAUAUCAACACGUAAAAUGAGAGGUAAUCUAUGUGAGUGUCGACGUGUACGCAAGUGAUGGAUAUAGUCCACAUUGGACUGCUAAAUUAUGUUAAUGUUCAAAUUGUGGAGGCAUAUUCGUAUAAUGGUAGUUAUAAAUCACAUUUAACACGUUAAAAAAAAGGGAGAGACAAAAUAAGGAUCUCAAUUGUUGAUCUAUUGAUAAACAAAAAUUACUGAGAGUAAAGGUAAAAUAGCAAUAGAGUAUUUUUUAUUUUAUUUUUUGACAAAUAUUUAGGAAAUUAAUUGUGGGAUAAAUGGAAAGAAAUCGUCAUUAAACUACGCCAAAUUCCACAUCCACUUAUUUAACUUGUACGUACUAGGGCCUCUAUAAAACGGAGGACUCGUAUGCAAUUAAAUAAAUAAAAAUGCACACAUUAAUGUACAUAUAUUAUUAUUAAGUCCAGAACAGCAUCAAAGUGUAGAAGUCACAUGAAAGAAGACAGAUAUAAAUACAAGUUUGGUAAUAAAAAUCACUCAAAACAACUUAACAAACACAGAUAAACCGUACUACUUAUUCAACUUCAGAACAGCACCAAGUUUUGCCAAGUACGUACAAGUAUAUAUAACAUGACGACAGUGCCAUCCAUAUAUAUAUAUAUAUAUAUACUUCCCAACUACUCUUUGAUCUGGUUUUUAGCACAGAGUACGUAUCUCUCGACAUGCAGCAUCACGUUCAAAUGCUGGGCUUCACGUUGAGGCGAGACGCUAUUUUCUGACCUAGAGACUUGUCAGCCUACAUGGACCACAACAUUACCAUCAUACUAGUAUUAGAUUAUUUUCAUUAAUACUACCUACUCUUCACCUAAUUGUUCCCGCUAAUAAAAUCUUUUACUAUUAUAAUUCAUUCCUAGUUGAAAAGGGUUGGAAUCAGAUUUACCUGACUCCAGUAUGACACCCAUAUGCUGCGGAUCUCAUAGGUAAUACGCGGAUCCGAUAAACCAGUAACCACCCGAUUGAUAAAUCGCUCUUGCCUGGAACAAAUAAUUAACAAAACCAAUAAAGCCUAAGUAGUUAUUUUAUUAUGAAAAGGGAGCUGAUAUUUCAUUCCACAGUUAUACAUUUUCUUUAAAAAAUCCACUUUCGCACUGGAGUUGUUAAAUGAUCGCUGGAAAUAUCAUUCCAACAUUUAUAAAUGAAAUGGUACUUGCAUGCGUACCUGUCUGGCGCAAAAGUCCGGUAUCUGUCUCCUGCCUGCUUGAAGUUGUUCUCUUUGUCAAUUACAGACUGCAUUAACAACCAACAAGCUAUUAUCAUGUAUAUAUCUAGGUCAUCUAGCUAGCUAGCGUAAACAAAUUAUUGCAUAUUGCCUUCAUUUGUUAAAGAGAUAUCUAUCUAUUCUAUUACCAUUCAAACAAAAUUCUGUAUUUGAUUGAUCAACUCCACCUUUUUGGAAAUUAAAUUCUAUGCCAUUAAAGGAAUGCCAACAUAUAUUAUGAAAAACUCACCCUAGUUCGCCUUCCCAUCAACACGCGUGGAGGAAGGGGGUGCUUCUCAGCAUGGACCACAGGAUCAAACCUAGAAGGGAAGUAAUUGACCUGGAAGAGUGCACUUGUGUGAUUAAUAUAUAUGGAGAACACAAAAGCAUGCCUAAAGAAAUUAAUUAUCAAAAGUGGGCUAUUUAGAAAGCAAGAGAUCAUUAAGAAGCUUAAAAACUCUACUCUUUUUCACCUCCUCAUCCCUGUGCAAAAAAUUCAUUGAGCCUUCAUGGUGAUUGUUGUGAUGAGCGCACUUGGGAGCAUUAGCUGGAAGCAGCAAAUAGUUUGGUCCCAGACGGUGCCUCUGAGUAUCACCAUAAGCGAAUACCCGACCCUGGAGAAACUUAUCAUCCGAAUACCAGACACCAGGAACAACAUGAGCAGGGUUGAAAGCAAGCAUUUCAUUUUCUGCAAAAAAGUUAUCAAUAUUCCUAUUCAACACCAAGCGGCCCACUGGCUGCAGGGGAAAGAUGUCCUCAGGCCAGGUCUUGGUUACAUCGAGUGGGUCAAAGUCAAAUUUGUCCUCGUGAUCGGGGUCCAUAAUCUGGAUAAAAAGCUUCCACUCAGGAUAAUUGCCAGCUGCAAUUGAGUCAUAGAGAUCUUGGGUGGCAUGGCUGUGAUUAGAUCCUCCAAUUUUGAUGGCUUCUUCCUCCAACAAGUUUUUGACUCCGCAGGUAGGUCUCCAGUGAAACUUGACAUAGGUUGCUUUCCCAGCCUUGUUAAGAAGAGUGAAGGUGUGAACCCCGGAGCCAUCCAUGUGCCUGUAAUCUUGUGGAACACCUAUGUCAUCAUAGAAGAAUGUGAAGGUGUGCAAACUCUCUGGGUGGUGGGAUAAGUAGUCAAAGAUUCUCCAGUUCUCUUGAAUGUGAGACUUGGGAUUGGGUUUAAAAGCACGAAUCACGUCUGGGAAUUUCAUUGCAUCCCGGACAAAGAAGAUUGGGAAAUUGUUUCCCACCAGAUCAAAGUUACCCUGAGUCGGUACACACAAAAAAUGUCACAAAUUAAUAUUAUGAACACAAAUUAAAAAGUAAUCUACACACACACUAUAUAAGAUGCACAACUUCUUCAUCAAUUCAAAAAAAAAUGUAUGUAUUUUAAAAUGAAAUGGAGCUCCUAAUUAAUGUUUGCAAGAUGGUAGGGCUCCCUCAGAUGUUGCAACCCUGAAUUCCUCCAAAAGUUGGAUAAAUAAGAGUUGCGCGUGAAUAGAGCUAGCUUUAGAGAGCUUCAGUUUUGAAUUUUUAGGAUUUCAAAAUUUGACUUGAAAAAAUAAAAAUAUAUCUCGGAACGACUGGAGGGAGUAGGUCACAAAAGAGAGAAUUAUAUCAGUAUUCUCACCUCUCUGGUGUAGAACUUCACUGCAAAACCUCGAGGGUCCCUGAUGGUUUCAGGACUUCCACGCUCAUGGAUAACGGUGGAGAAGCGAACAAUAACAGGUGUCUGGACACCAGGGGCCCGCAGAAAGUCAGCGCAUGUAAGGUUAGUAAUAUCAUGGGUGACCUCAAAGAAACCUUUGGCACUGGCACCCCUUGCAUGGACAACUCUUUCAGGGAUCCUCUCCCUAGUAAAAGUAGCAAUUUUCUCCACCAACGGAUAAUCCUCAA